ACUUAGUAUGUGUACUUGCUGUAAAUAUGGACAAAGAACAAUAUGUAGGCUUUAGGUGGGUAUUCUAUGAGUUUCUGAUUGCCCAUAAAGAACCUACAAACAGUU
Small nucleolar RNA from Corchorus capsularis, 105 nucleotides. The record is from Rfam. NCBI's taxonomy places the organism in Eukaryota, Viridiplantae, Streptophyta, Magnoliopsida, Malvales, Malvaceae.